RNAcentral lists this long non-coding RNA (335 nucleotides) under Phaseolus vulgaris (common bean). RNAcentral describes it as "long non-coding RNA (PVUL_LNC002378)". Lineage: Eukaryota; Viridiplantae; Streptophyta; Magnoliopsida; Fabales; Fabaceae. The record is from RNAcentral.
AUGUGGUCAAUGGACUGCAGUUGUUGUUGCAAUUUGUUCAGACAGGAGAAAUUGUAGUUCGCGAAAAAUCUGAACCACCUGAAAGUUCCCUUUUUGGCGAAACUCCUGUUUAUGACAGCUCUGAAGGCUCCAAAUUUUAUGAAUCACCUCCCAGUGAAGAAUCAUAUGCGUAUGAAUCACCUCCCAGUGAAGAAUCCUAUGCCGAUGAAUCAACUGGACGUCAGAGCUAUGAAACAUACAAAGAUUCUGAACUGUGAUGAAAAUGUGAAAUUCAUAUGCUGAUAUUUGCUCAAAUUUUAGGUAAGCUCUGAAGGCGGUUUCCAGUGCUGGCAAAU